RNAcentral lists this transfer RNA (80 nucleotides) under Anguilla anguilla (European eel). RNAcentral describes it as "tRNA-OTHER". The record is from RNAcentral. Lineage: Eukaryota; Metazoa; Chordata; Actinopteri; Anguilliformes; Anguillidae.
CGGAGUGUAGCACAGUGGGUAAGGAACUGGGCUUGUAACCGAAAGGUCGCAGGUUCGAUUCCCGGACCCUGCCGUUGUAC